This 1098-nucleotide long non-coding RNA is filed under the name Carassius auratus (goldfish). Its description in RNAcentral is "lncRNA (ENSCARG00000036732.1)". Lineage: Eukaryota; Metazoa; Chordata; Actinopteri; Cypriniformes; Cyprinidae. The record is from RNAcentral.
AACACUUUCUGUGUUUAGAUGGAGAACCUUCAUCCGCUGUGUGGUGACCAGUCUGCACCUGAACAAGCGUUUUCUUCUCUUUCACACUCAAACAUCCAUCAAGAGUCCCCAGAGCGCUGGCAGACUCUUCCUGAAGCCGGCGAGGCAGUACUAUCACAUCUGAACCCAGAAGAGACAAACACAGAGUCUGGUGACGAUCAGACUCCAGCUCUACUGGGUCUUCUGCCAGAAACAUCUGCUGCUGCUCACAGGAAGCUGGGGGACACUUCUCAGACGUCUGCCGGCUCAUCUCAGCUCCAUCAAGGCUUUCAGCCAACAUUUGAAGAUCCCGGACCCUCGUUCUUCUCAUCUCCAGCUCACGUCAAUAACACCAGCCGUCCUCCAAACCGUCUUCAUGUCCCUCCACCAGUCCAUCAGCAGACCGCUUCUCCUUUAAAUAUCAAACCAGUAGCUCUUUUUACAGAUAUUAACCCUUCUUUUCACAUACCUCGUGUCUAUCCUCACAUGAUGCCUCAUUUUAACCCUUCGUGGCCAGUUUUGGUGCCUCAUAUUGUCAGUAAUGCUUCAGUGGCUCGUCCCGGUCCCUUCUGCGCCGUCUUCACUCCUCAGCCGUGUAGAGCAAGCCUCACGGCUCUGGUGGCCUGUGAAGACCCCUGCUGCUCCUCUCGAGUGUUUGGAGCACGUCUGAAGGUUUACUCUGCUCCCGCUCCACACCUGCAGACGAUCCGGACGGAUGGAGAGGUUCAGGAGCGCUUCAGACGCUGGCAGAGACUCCGGGAGACCACCAGACUCUUCUGCUCCAGGAGAUCAGACGCAGACGCUCUGGCCUGCUUCUUCACACGUGUGCUUCCCUCUCUCUCCGCUCUCCGUCCAGAUCUGUCGUUCUCUGCCGCCGUGAACACAGCCCUGCAGGACUGGAACAACAUCUCCGUCUCUGAACGCCAGACACACUACAACACUGCCAGGACGUUCACCGAGAUGGAAAAACAGGACAAGAGCGCCAACAGAGAUCCAACAGCUCCUCAAACAGACAAACACAGAGGUCAGCAUUAUUUGAACGGGUCAAGAUUAACUUUUGCUCCUAGGCGUCAUAUUUGA